This 2772-nucleotide long non-coding RNA is filed under the name Malus domestica (apple). RNAcentral describes it as "long non-coding RNA (MDOM_LNC012506)". Lineage: Eukaryota; Viridiplantae; Streptophyta; Magnoliopsida; Rosales; Rosaceae. The record is from RNAcentral.
UGACUUUCAAGAUGUACAUAAAAAUUAGCAAAAUCACAUUAAAAAACAAAAGAAAAUAAAGAUAUUGAAACAUGAUUAUUUUAUUAAGAAAGCUUAAAGAACCUGCAACAUGUCAUAUGGUUUCAACAUAACAAAAGCUUUUGAGCUCUUGACAGAUGCGAGGAAAAUGUGCCUAUAAUCGAAGAAUCAAUCAUUUGUAAUAAGGAGUGCUACGAUACUGUAUCAGCCACUUCAAGUUGCUUAUGCAAAGUGAGUCAAACAACACAUAAUUAAUUAAUUAACAUAGUUAGAACAUAUUCAUUAUUUACACACAUAACAUAUCAAUGGUCUAACAAUUGCGGAGCAAGAAAUUUAUAUAAAAAAAGGCCAAUUUUUUUUGCUUUUGUUAUCAAAUUCACAAAAAUGAAACAUUUCGAUUUCAUCAUCUUCAUAAUUGGGUUUUCAUUUUUUGCAUAAUUGAUCGGAAUGUUUGACAACGGUAAAAAUGACAGAACAAAAUUUGUGAAUAAAAUUAUAGCACAUAAUUGGGUUUUAAUUUCACUGUCAUCUUCUUCAUAAUUGGGUUUUUAUUUUUUGCAUACAUUGAACUUUGUUAUUUGAAUGGCUAUCCAGCUUACUUAUGUGAAUUUUCAAGACCAAAUUACACACAGAGAUUACAAAUUCACAAAGUUUUUUCAUACUCAAUGUUCCUAUUUUGUUGUGCAUUCGUAUUUAUUCAAGGUGAUUAAGUAGUGUUAUAUGCAAACAGUCUUACAAUACUUCCACCACAAAACUAAGCAUUUUGAAUGUGUAUCAAAUAAGUACUUGAUUCGCAGCGAAAUAAUCUAAAGGAUUUUAAUGGUUUAAGAAGUUAGAUGUUUAGAGUUUUAGGGGUUCUCAUGAGAAGUAUUUAUUAAACCCAAUAAUCCACAUGUAUCUGACAACCUAUGAGUCACAUUAGAAUGAUAGCUAUCAUGCAAAGCAUUUGAUAAUACAUAUUUAUAGAAUUAGUAAGUUGUGUGCAUUUGAGUGAAUGGGUAUCAUAUUUGACCUCGGAUACAAAAUUAUAUUCUACUGGAAGAAGUAUUGUGCAAUUUUGUUAAAAUAAAUAAAAUAAUUUAAUAUUAGAACAAUGCCUGUAAUUCAAUACUAGAAUAAGGGUAAAUUGUCAAAAUGGUAUCUGAGAUUUUCAUAACUCAUCACUUUAGUCCCUAAGAUUCCAAAUCGAUAUAAGUGGUCACUGAGAUUGUCCACCAUCCAUCAUUUUAGUCAUUCCGUUAAAAACUCCGUUAAGUGUCCCGGAGAUCUUAACCGGAAGUUUGGGCAAUUUUCAAAGCUUCGUAACUCAAUCGUUUCUUAACCAAAUUCGACCCAUAAUAUAUCAAAAUGAAGAUAGGAAAGUGUAGAAUAAUAUUAUACCUAUUUCAAAGCCCAAUGGUUGUCUGAGAUGGCCAGAAAAUAGCCUCAAAGUUGACUGGUCCGAGUGAAAACUUGAAAACUCACCGGAAACUGGGUAAAUUUUACACGUUCAUAACUUCUUCAAUACUCAACGAAAUCAAGUGAUUCAAAAACGAAAAUCAUAAUUCUCGAUGAGACGAAGAGAAUGGUAUCUUUUUUUAUGGCUAACGCACCGUGGUUUGGCUGGAAAACAGCUCGAAAUUGUCUAACUUGAAAUCAAGACAGCCACUUUCGAUCCGUUUUCCUGCAAAACCAAGGCGAGUUGGCCAUUAAAAAAGGUAUUAUUCUCUUUGUCUCAUCGAUAUGUAUUAUUUUUGUUUUUGAAUCACUUGAUUUCGUUGAGUAUUGAAGAAGUUAUGAACGUUUAAAGUUUACCCAGUUUUCGGUGAGUUUUCAAGUUUUCACUCUGACCAAUCAACGUUUAGGCUAUUUUCAGGCAAUCUCCUGCAAUCAUUGGGCUUUAAAAUUGGUAUAAUCUUAUUCUACACUUUCCUAUUUUCAUUUUGAUAUAUUAUGGGUCGAAUUUGGUUAAGAAACGAUUGAGUUACGAAGCUUUAAAAAUUGCCCAAACUUCCGGCCAAGAGUUCCGGGACACUUAACGGAGUUUUUAAUGAAAGGACCAAAAUGAUGGAUGGUGGACAAUCUCAGGGACCACGUUUAUCGAUUUGGAAUCUCAGGGAUCAAAGUGAUGAGUUAUGCAAAUCUUAAGAACUAUUUUGGCGAUUUACCCUUGGAAUAAUGUCUUUAAACCAUGAUCAUUUAAUGUGGAGAAAUUGGAAGUUGAAAUAAGUUGAAAACGACAUUGGAUAGAGGAGAAAAUUCAAACAAUAUUGUGAUAAAAAUGGAACUCAGUUGUGAGUUCAAGAGAAAGAUCAAUGGAAAUGCCUCACAGACCAACUUGAAAGAAAACAUAUUGUUAAGUGAUUGUGCUAGGACUAGAAAAAUGCAAACUUUAUAUGGAAGAUGAAAAUUUACCUGCAUAGAGUGAGAGGGAGGAACAGAGAUGAAAAUGAGUGAUUAGUUAAAGCUAUAAUUUUUUAAGUAUGUUCUGCAAAUUGAAUCAUUUAGCUAUCGCAUUGACAUGCAUGAAAUGAACAAUAUGCAUAAAUGUGAUUAAAAUGACAAAUAUGCAAUAUCACCAAAUUCAUGAUUAUUAUCCAAAAUCUUUAAAGUAAACAUAAAAUCGAAUUAACACCUCUCUAUUUCUAAUCUAUCUCCCUAUUAUUUUGUAUUGAGAUAAGGUUUAUACUAAACGAUGUUUUCACCAAAAUUUAAUGAUAAAAAGACCACAAUAGAAGUUUAAUAUGAGUGAAAGAGUUGGCCUCUACCUCUAAU